CAUCAACCCCUGUCACCCCUAAGGCAGAAUCAAGAUGGUACAACGGAACGGGUAAGUACCGGCUCGUAAAACGCUAAGCGGGGGUUUGCGAGCAUUUGGAACACAGAGGGAAGGCUUUUUAACACGCAGGGCUGCACGUCCGCCGCCGGAGAUCCCUUACCUCUGCGACUGGCACAGCACACAGGGCGGCUCCCAGCCCUGCGCCCACCGCGCGGCGCCACCGCCCGCUCCCACCAGGAAGGCCGCGUCUGCCGGUGCCGGCCAGAGCGGGGAGGCCGUGCCUGGGCAUGCGAGAAACAGUGAGCACAGAAACACCAGAGCAGGGAUCAUCUGCUGCAGCUGGGGAAGGGGACCGUGAACCGGCGAUGUUCUGGAAUAACAGCGAGUGGCCGUACUGGUUAUUAUCGUGACGGUGAGGUAUAAAGGCGAGAAACAACAGCUGGGCGCGGGGGGCACCGCCGCCCCAACCCGGCCGCCCGUAACCGCGGUACCUCAGGAGAGAGCACCAACCCCGCAGCCAGAAGGACCGCGCCGCCAUCUUGGGAGUGGGCGGUACGCCGGAAGUGACGCCAUGCUGGGAGGGUGGUCCGGAUCGGCGCGUGCGCAGAGGGCGGGCACGUGGGGAGGGCGCGAGGCGCGGCCGUUGGGUUAACGGUCGCUGUGAGGGGCGGCGGCGCUGGGAGGCGACCAACGGUCGUUGGCGCCGCGCGGGAACGCUGUUGCCGCGCUCAGCCCUCAGCCUCGCGGCUCGCACAGGCUCGGCUUCCAUCUGCUUUGGUCCACUUCAUCUUUACUUUUCCGGAGUACGUGAGUUGGUGCAGGAGGAAGGAGGUGCCAUCCUGUGUGCUGAGCAGAUGUGUGGGACGAGCUGUGCAGUGGAGCCAGGUGCUUCUGGCCAGCCAAGGACUGCAGGAGCGGGGAAGGAGUUGUCAUUUGAGCACCAAGAAAUACGUCGUCCAGCCAGCAAGCAGCAGUGCUCCCACCAGCACGGUGUAGCUGAACAGCACAAACGCCAGCAGCUCCCGCAGAACCUUGAGGAAGUGGAUUGCAAAGGAGUCCGGCAUCGUUCCCCACAGUACUGCAGUGCAGAAUGAAAUUCAGCGUGAAACAGAGACCUCAGUGUUCGCUGUGGAGAGCGUGAGUAUAGCGUCAGCGACCAAAGGAAAGGGCAGACAGCAGGGCCUGCUCUGCCUUCCAAGCCACCAGCCAUAGCAAAGCACGCUCCUGGAGCCAGAAGCUGCCACUUGCGUUCGUUGGCUCAGCAGUGCCAGUGGCCCAGCCCCAAGGCCAUGGAAAAUUCCGUUGUAUAAUUUUGGGCUCUGCAACAGCAAGUACCACAAUUUAUAAAGUGAAGAAAACAAAAAAGGUGUCUGUUUUAAACCUGCUGCUUACUGGUUUACUGACACAGCUAUUUUUGGUCUGCGUCCCAUGUGAGGAGUGCCUGUGUAUGUGUACCUUCAAACAUAAGUGCGUGGCACAGUGAUGUAAUUCAUACUCAGGAGUUGCGUUACAGGCAGGUGGGGUAUACCUGGGACAAACAAUCCACCUCCCACUGAGCCCUUCCCAGAAUGGCUGAAGUAAAAGACUGGCAUUUCCCUAGAACCUGGGUGCAGUCAGUGGUGUCCACAGUCAGUACUGCUGCCGUGCAUGUGUGUAGUUCAAGAUUUAGCUGUUGCUGCUUGUGCUAGAGGAAGCCCAGUGAAUGUCUUGGCCAAGCAGCAUGCAAGACAGUGGACUUGAAUGUGGCCUAGAAGUAGUUAACCUGCAGGGACAGCACAUUACAGGUCCCUUAGCAUCACUGGCUGCUUGAGGGGGCACUGAGGAUAUGCAGCAGCUGAAUGAUAGAGAACCUUGAGCAGCUGGGUCCCAAAGGAGCCUGUUACCCCUAAUGCUUUCUGUUUCAUUUUGCUACUUUGUGAAUUAUGUGUCAUUGCUUUUUUUUUGUCCUCAAACUGUACCUAAAUGUAUGCAGCAAAAAAAAGUUGAUGCUUCCUCCUUACUGCAGUUAUCUUUCCCUUGUACAAUCAGUGUUUGUGGAUGUGAGAGAACUCAGCUGCUGUGACCUGCAAGCCACAGAGGCUAGUGAUACAAAAUCAGGAGCAGAUGAGGCACUGCUUUCUGAGCUUGUUGGAAGAACCAAACUGAAAGAAAAAUGGAAGUGGUUUGAGCAGGGCAAAUUCUGCUACCCCAGCGCUUGACCGUUGAUUCAUAUUGCAAGCAGAUACAUCUCUUUCUCCCAUUGUUUAUUUCAUGGUUAAUGUCUUUCAGCACUGCUCAGCUACUACAAGUUCCACAAACAAACAGUGGGAAUACAAGUGCAGAGAGGGAGGCAGGGAACCGCAUCAUGGACUGGAGCAUGCCAUUCUUCCAGGGGCACAUUCCCUUCCUAGUCAAGGAGCCCCGCCAGCGGGGGGGUGUAUCACAUCUGUAUGUAUCUGAUGUACCUGUAUCACACAGGGCUGCUCAGUUUCACUCUCUCUUGCCACAGAUUCUAGAAAGGGGUAGGCUCUAAUUUUUCCAUCAAGGAUUUGAUCCAGGUUGUUCCAUUGAUUAGUUUUGUGGUGGCAAUGACGUACUCUGUGCCUCCAUCUUCCAUCUGAGAUAGAAAUCUCAGUGCAGCUAUUUCUGCAUAUGUCACACCUCCCAGGAAGAACACCAGCGUGACUCGGUUCUCACCAUGCUGACCUGCAUAUACAGAGAAAGAGAGAGGUUGCCUUUCUUUUCUUUUAAUACCUCCUAUCCAUCAGCUAUCAGUCCAACUCAGAAUGUCCUCAAACUAAAGUAAAUUUAGGAGCUGAUUUAAAAGAGAAGCAUAUUGGGCACAGCAGCAGACAGGAGAUGCAGAAUCUGCUGCCAGCUCUGCAGUCUCUAUAGAAUGUGCCUCUGUCUGGCCAGGUUUAAUACUAACAGAGCGAUGCUGACCUUCUUUGUACUUAUUUAAAUCACAGUGCAAUAGAAGGGUU
RNAcentral lists this long non-coding RNA (2963 nucleotides) under Gallus gallus (chicken). RNAcentral's name for it is "long non-coding RNA NONGGAT002816". Lineage: Eukaryota; Metazoa; Chordata; Aves; Galliformes; Phasianidae. The record is from RNAcentral.